Molecule: ribosomal RNA, 425 nt
Filed under: uncultured bacterium
Lineage: Bacteria
Description: partial 16S ribosomal RNA
Rfam family: Bacterial small subunit ribosomal RNA
Source: RNAcentral
GUGGGGAAUAUUGGACAAUGGGCGCAAGCCUGAUCCAGCCAUGCCGCGUGAGUGAUGAAGGCCCUAGGGUUGUAAAGCUCUUUCACCGGUGAAGAUAAUGACGGUAACCGGAGAAGAAGCCCCGGCUAACUUCGUGCCAGCAGCCGCGGUAAUACGAAGGGGGCUAGCGUUGUUCGGAAUUACUGGGCGUAAAGCGCACGUAGGCGGACAUUUAAGUCAGGGGUGAAAUCCCGGGGCUCAACCCCGGAACUGCCUUUGAUACUGGGUGUCUGGAGUAUGGAAGAGGUAAGUGGAAUUCCGAGUGUAGAGGUGAAAUUCGUAGAUAUUAGGAAGAACACCAGUGGCGAAGGCGGCUCACUGGUCUGGUACUGACGCUGAGGUGCGAAAGCGUGGGGAGCAAACAGGAUUAGAUACCCGUGUAGUCC